GAUGAACGCUGGCGGCGUGCCUAAUACAUGCAAGUCGAGCGAACAGACGAGGAGCUUGCUCCUCUGACGUUAGCGGCGGACGGGUGAGUAACACGUGGAUAACCUACCUAUAAGACUGGGAUAACUUCGGGAAACCGGAGCUAAUACCGGAUAAUAUAUUGAACCGCAUGGUUCAAUAGAGAAAGACGGUUUUGCUGUCACUUAUAGAUGGACCCGCGCCGCAUUAGCUAGUUGGUAAGGUAACGGCUUACCAAGGCGACGAUGCGUAGCCGACCUGAGAGGGUGAUCGGCCACACUGGAACUGAGACACGGUCCAGACUCCUACGGGAGGCAGCAGUAGGGAAUCUUCCGCAAUGGGCGAAAGCCUGACGGAGCAACGCCGCGUGAGUGAUGAAGGUCUUCGGAUCGUAAAACUCUGUUAUUAGGGAAGAACAAAUGUGUAAGUAACGAUGCACGUCUUGACGGGACCUAAUCAGAAAGCACGGCUAACUACGUG
RNAcentral lists this ribosomal RNA (496 nucleotides) under uncultured bacterium. Its description in RNAcentral is "partial 16S ribosomal RNA". It matches the Rfam family "Bacterial small subunit ribosomal RNA", at positions 28 to 507 of the family's 1533-position model. The record is from RNAcentral.